UACGUAGGGUGCGAGCGUUGUCCGGAAUUAUUGGGCGUAAAGAGCUCGUAGGCGGUUUGUCGCGUCGGCUGUGAAAACUCGAGGCUCAACCUCGAGACGUCGGUUGAAACCGUAUGGCUAGAGUCCGGAAGAGGAGAGUGGAAUUCCCGGUGUAGCGGUGAAAUGCGCAGAUAUCGGGAAGAACACCCGUGGCGAAGGCGGCUCUCUGGGACGGUACUGACGCUGAGACGCGAAAGCGUGGGGAGCGAACAGG
Molecule: ribosomal RNA, 253 nt
Filed under: uncultured bacterium
Lineage: Bacteria
Description: partial 16S ribosomal RNA
Rfam family: Bacterial small subunit ribosomal RNA
Source: RNAcentral